UGCAAAUGAACCUUCCUUUAAUUAUAAGCUGAAGUAAUCCAAGUACUCCUGUGAAGAAUUGUAUGCAUGCCUAAAAUGCUAUUCUUUUAGUACUAAUUGCCAGUUGUUUAAUCACUUUUAAGAUUUUCUUUUAUGUGUCGGUCAUAUUUUUAUAAAUGCCCUCUGUGACAGAAAACUGUCAUCCCAUGUGGAUUUGAUUGCGCUGUAAGGAAAAACCAUUCAAAGAGAGAUAAUGGAGGCCCUGCGUUGCUCCUGUACUUCUAGCACAUGUGUCUGCCCCUGAGACCCAAUGCAUUUGCACAAUCUGUGCCUCUGCUUCUAGACGGACCUAACUGGAACCACGUGCUCCUGUGCAUUCAAUGGCGCAUCGGCUGCAAAGCCACAUGAGAAGUAAACAUGCUCUUUCAUGUUAUUCUCCAUUGAAUAUGAUCUGAAAGUACUUCCCAACUUCCUGAAUAGACUCAGAAUGUUCAAGGAACUUCUCACAGAUUUGUAUCAAAAACCUAUAAUACAUGAAACGUGAGACUUCCCUCAAAAUACUGCCUUUUGACAAGUGUCAAAGAGAAAAUAAAUCCUAUAGAUUGUGACCCUGAAUUGUCAUUAAAUUUGUGUUUACUGCCUGGUUUCCUCAGUUUCCAAGUUGAGUACGCUCAGGUAAAAGGCAUUGAAAGUGGUAAGUCUUCUUCCAUCUAACAACAUGUUAAGUAUUUGGAGAUAGAUGCAAAUUAUCACCUCG
This 736-nucleotide long non-coding RNA is filed under the name Homo sapiens (human). RNAcentral describes it as "HSALNT0026384". The record is from RNAcentral. Lineage: Eukaryota; Metazoa; Chordata; Mammalia; Primates; Hominidae.